UGGUGAGAAGGUAUAGUCUACCCCUUGCCGAAAGGCAAGAAAGGGUGAAGUUCCGACCUGCAUGAAUGGCCCAACGAGUGCCGCACUGUCUCGAGGAGAGUCCCGGCGAAAUUGUAAUGCCGGUCAAGAUGCCGGCUACCCGCGGCAGGACGGAAAGACCCCGUGAAGCUUCACUGUAGUCUGG
RNAcentral lists this ribosomal RNA (184 nucleotides) under Aquificota bacterium. RNAcentral describes it as "Aquificae bacterium partial 23S ribosomal RNA". It matches the Rfam family "Bacterial large subunit ribosomal RNA", at positions 1973 to 2114 of the family's 2925-position model. Lineage: Bacteria; Pseudomonadati; Aquificota. The record is from RNAcentral.